AUACUUACCUGGCAGGGGAGAUACCAUGAUCAAGAAGGUGGUUCACCCAGGGUGAGGCUUUGGCCAUUGCACUCAGGCCACGCCGACAUCUGCGAACGGCGAUCGACCUGUACGGCGUGCAAAUUUCAUUUUAGAAGUGUAGGCAAUUACAGCACCUG
Danio rerio (zebrafish) is the source of this 158-nucleotide non-coding RNA. The record is from Rfam. NCBI's taxonomy places the organism in Eukaryota, Metazoa, Chordata, Actinopteri, Cypriniformes, Danionidae.